AUGAAAGAACUAUUCAAUGCAAUAUAUCUACUUUAUCACUAUUAUCGCUAUUAUGUAAUAUGUAGAUACUACAAACCAGUUUUUAAUUCUAAUGGAGACAUAGGCCUACAUAGUCUUGUAAGUAGCUCCGUCAAUGUGUACGACCGUUAUUUGAUAGGAUCCGAAUUUUCUGCCUUUAUGGCAAGAAAUGCAUAUGACUUUCAAUCAAUUUGGUAUGUCUGA
This is a non-coding RNA of Vicia faba (fava bean), 222 nucleotides long. NCBI's taxonomy places the organism in Eukaryota, Viridiplantae, Streptophyta, Magnoliopsida, Fabales, Fabaceae. The record is from the annotation of a GenBank genome assembly.